Molecule: ribosomal RNA, 502 nt
Filed under: uncultured Sphingobacteriales bacterium
Lineage: Bacteria; Pseudomonadati; Bacteroidota; Sphingobacteriia; Sphingobacteriales
Description: bacterial SSU rRNA
Rfam family: Bacterial small subunit ribosomal RNA
Source: RNAcentral
UCCACGCCCGCUCAGAAACUACAAAGGAAGUUAGACGGGGGCCCGCGACAAGCGGAGGAGCAUGUGGUUUAAUUCGAUGAUACGCGAGGAACCUUACCUGGGCUCGAACGUAAGAUGACUGUAGGUGAAAGCUUACAUCUCUUCGGAGCAUUUUACGAGGUGCUGCAUGGUUGUCGUCAGCUCGUGCCGUGAGGUGUCGGGUUAAGUCCCAUAACGAGCGCAACCCUACCUUUAGUGCCAUCAGGUAAUGCUGGGGACUCUAAAGGAACUGCCUACGCAAGUAGUGAGGAAGGCGGGGAUGACGUCAAAUCAGCACGGCCCUUACGUCCAGGGCUACACACGUGCUACAAUGGCCGAUACAGAGGGCAGCUACCUGGUGACAGGAUGCAAAUCUCCAAAGUCGGUCUCAGUUCGGAUCGGAGUCUGCAACCCGACUCCGUGAAGUUGGAUUCGCUAGUAAUCGCGCAUCAGCCAUGGCGCGGUGAAUACGUUCCCGGGCCUU